This 324-nucleotide ribosomal RNA is filed under the name uncultured eukaryote. RNAcentral describes it as "partial 18S ribosomal RNA". It matches the Rfam family "Eukaryotic small subunit ribosomal RNA", at positions 1470 to 1796 of the family's 1831-position model. The record is from RNAcentral.
CCCUUAGUUGUUCUGGGCUGCACGCGCGCUACACUGAAGCUAUCAACACGUUUUCCCUCCCUGAGAAGGGCGGGUAACCUUUUGAAUCAGCUUCGUGGUAGGGAUCGGGGCUUGCAAUUGUUCCCCGUGAACCAGGAAUUCCUAGUAGACGCGAGUCAUAAGCUCGCAUCGAUUAAGUCCCUGCCCUUUGUACACACCGCCCGUCGCUACUACCGAUUGAACGUUUUAGUGAGGCAUUUGGACCGACGCAUCUCAGUUUAACCGCUGGUUUGUGUUGGAAAGACUUCCAAACUUGAGCGUUUAGAGGAAGUAAAAGUCGUAACA